RNAcentral lists this unclassified non-coding RNA (291 nucleotides) under fungal sp. Its description in RNAcentral is "partial internal transcribed spacer region". The stretch from base 1 to 46 matches the Rfam family "Eukaryotic small subunit ribosomal RNA", at positions 1786 to 1831 of the family's 1831-position model. The record is from RNAcentral. Lineage: Eukaryota; Fungi.
AAGUCGUAACAAGGUUUCCGUAGGUGAACCUGCGGAAGGAUCAUUAACACUUUUUCUUUUUUUUCUUCCUUUCUCUUUGAAAAAAGAAAAGGGGGAAAAAAAAAAAAUCCUAUCCACCCCAUUUGAACGAACGAUGAUUCUUUUUCGAAUCUCUUCUUUAUUCUCCAACCUUUUUUUUUACCCCAUAUACCAAAAAUGCGAUAGACUGAUAUCAUUUUUCACAAAAAGUGAUCAUCAUAAAAUGAAUGAUUAUUUUGAAAACAACUCUUAGCAACGGAUAUCUUGGCUCUC